AACGAACGCUGGCGGCAGGCCUAACACAUGCAAGUCGAACGCUCGUAGCAAUACGAGAGUGGCAGACGGGUGAGUAACACGUGGGAACCUUCCCUAUGGUUCGGAAUAGCCCAGGGAAACUUGGGGUAAUACCGGAUAAGCCCUUCGGGGGAAAGGAUUUAUCGCCAUUGGAUGGGCCCGCGUCGGAUUAGCUAGUUGGUGAGGUAACGGCUCACCAAGGCGACGAUCCGUAGCUGGUCUGAGAGGAUGAUCAGCCACACUGGGACUGAGACACGGCCCAGACUCCUACGGGAGGCAGCAGUGGGGAAUAUUGGACAAUGGGCGGCAAGCCUGAUCCAGCCAUGCCGCGUGAGUGACGAAGGCCUUAGGGUUGUAAAGCUCUUUUGGUCGGGGAGGAUAAUGACGGUACCCGCAGAAUAAGCUCCGGCUAACUUCGUGCCAGCCGCCGCCGUAAG
This 455-nucleotide ribosomal RNA is filed under the name uncultured bacterium. RNAcentral's name for it is "bacterial SSU rRNA". It matches the Rfam family "Bacterial small subunit ribosomal RNA", at positions 29 to 524 of the family's 1533-position model. The record is from RNAcentral.